RNAcentral lists this non-coding RNA (45 nucleotides) under Schistosoma margrebowiei. The record is from RNAcentral. Lineage: Eukaryota; Metazoa; Platyhelminthes; Trematoda; Strigeidida; Schistosomatidae.
AUUCAACUGACGAGUCCCGACUAAGACGAAACACGUGUCCUCGAU